Molecule: ribosomal RNA, 253 nt
Filed under: uncultured bacterium
Lineage: Bacteria
Description: partial 16S ribosomal RNA
Rfam family: Bacterial small subunit ribosomal RNA
Source: RNAcentral
UACGGAGGGGGCUAGCGUUGUUCGGAAUGACUGGGCGUAAAGGGCGCGUAGGCGGCGAUUCAAGUCAGAUGUGAAAGGCCUGGGCUCAACCCGGGAACUGCAUUUGAUACUGGAUUGCUUGAGUGCGGGAGAGGAUGGCGGAAUUCCCAGUGUAGAGGUGAAAUUCGUAGAUAUUGGGAAGAACACCGGUGGCGAAGGCGGCCAUCUGGACCGGUACUGACGCUGAGGCGCGAAAGCGUGGGGAGCAAACAGG